Long non-coding RNA from Esox lucius (northern pike), 1001 nucleotides. NCBI's taxonomy places the organism in Eukaryota, Metazoa, Chordata, Actinopteri, Esociformes, Esocidae. The record is from Ensembl.
GCUUAACCUGAGGCCUGUUGCACAAAAGUAGAAUGAAGAAAUCCUGGAUAACUGAAAAAGCGCAGCUUGACUUAGCGUGAUCCGCUCAUCGCGGCAUAGUCAGUUGCACGUUUAUCAAGCCAGGAUGAGAAGGUGAAGAAGCAAUGUCAAGCCAGGGGUAGAUAGUUGGGAUAAGUGCACGUCCACGGCUUUCUUAAACAAACCACGAUAUCGAUCACAGAUUUACUGAUGCAGAGAUGGAGAAGACGCGUGCGGCAUAUUUUUCACCCGCUGAACAGCAACUAAUUAUGGAAAGUUACGAGGAGGUAAAGCAUAUAAUAUGCAGAAAAGAAAUAUGGCUGCUGUUAUUAAACAGAGAGAAAAAGCCUGGCAGACAGUAGCGGACCGACUGAAUGCAACAAAUGUGACUGGGCAAAAAAGAACCUGGCAACAAGUCAAGAUCAAAUAUGAAAACAUUUUGCAGGCUGGUGGAAGGGGCUUCUGCAGUAUGGGAAGGGGCUGCUGCAGCUGAGGAUGAGAAGACUGUGUCACUGGACACCAGAAGGCUUGAGGUAUCAUUUCAAUCUUAUGGAAAUGCAUAUUUAGCCCAUUAUGGAUGAGAAGUCAGUGAUGUAGCACUCAGAAAUGUAUGUAACAGGAUCCAGACGCAGUACAGUCUGACAGCCAGCCUGGCAACAUAGUAAGUAUGGGCUAAUGGGAAUCUAAAUUAUGCACAAUUCCUGUUGUGCUAAUCAAUGGGUCUGUAUACACGACAUCUGAAAAAGCAAAUGGAGCUGGCAGAUGCACAGAUUGCUGUAAGCAAAAGGACUCCCCAGGAUCUGGACCUUGGUAUAGAAAUCAAGAAGAAAAACACUGAGGAAACUGGAUCUGGCGAUACAGAUACUAGAAAAAUAAGUUAGUGACUUCAAUCCACACUGUAAGCAUAUCUGUAAAACAAUGUAUUAAUCAUGUUUUUCUUUUUCUCUCCCAAGCUCCAAACUGACAAGUGACAGCACUAAAAU